RNAcentral lists this transfer RNA (119 nucleotides) under Candidatus Woesearchaeota archaeon. Its description in RNAcentral is "tRNA-Cys". The record is from RNAcentral. Lineage: Archaea; Nanobdellati; Candidatus Woesearchaeota.
GGGCGGAUCGCCAAAUCCGGCUAAGGCAAGAGGCUGCAACCCUCUCAUUGUGGGUUCAAAUACUGGCGCUCAAAGCGUGCAUACCUUCGAACGCCAGUGAGAAAGUCCCACUCCGCCCU